This 725-nucleotide ribosomal RNA is filed under the name uncultured bacterium. RNAcentral describes it as "bacterial SSU rRNA". It matches the Rfam family "Bacterial small subunit ribosomal RNA", at positions 59 to 747 of the family's 1533-position model. The record is from RNAcentral.
AAGUCGAACGGAAGUCGUUGUAAUGAAAUGGAAAUGGACAGAGAACUUGUUCGAAGAAAGUUGAAGUAGACUUACAACAAUGGCUUUAGUGGCGGACUGGUGAGUAACGCGUAAGGAACCUGCCUUUUAGAGGGGAAUAACAAUGAGAAAUCAUUGCUAAUACCGCAUAUGCCGAGAGAAUCACAUGGUACAAUCGGGAAAGGAGCAAUUCGCUAAAAGAUGGCCUUGCGUCUGAUUAGAUAGUUGGUGGGGUAACGGCCUACCAAGUCGACGAUCAGUAGCCGGACUGAGAGGUUGAACGGCCACAUUGGGACUGAGAUACGGCCCAGACUCCUACGGGAGGCAGCAGUCGGGAAUAUUGCGCAAUGGAGGAAACUCUGACGCAGUGACGCCGCGUAUAGGAAGAAGGUUUUCGGAUUGUAAACUAUUGUCGUUAGGGAAGAGAAAGGACAGUACCUAAGGAGGAAGCUCCGGCUAACUACGUGCCAGCAGCCGCGGUAAUACGUAGGGAGCGAGCGUUAUCCGGAAUUAUUGGGUGUAAAGGGUGCGUAGACGGGAAGAUAAGUUAGUUGUGAAAUCCCUCGGCUUAACUGAGGAACUGCAACUAAAACUGUUUUUCUUGAGUGCAGGAGAGGUAAGUGGAAUUCCUAGUGUAGCGGUGAAAUGCGUAGAUAUUAGGAGGAACACCAGUGGCGAAGGCGACUUACUGGACUGUAACUGACGUU